GUGGGUAACCUGCCUGUAAGACUGGGAUAACUCCNGGAAACCGGAGCUAAUACCGGAUAGUUCCUUGAACCGCAUGGUUCAAGGAUGAAAGACGGUUUCGGCUGUCACUUACAGAUGGACCCGCGGCGCAUUAGCUAGUUGGUGAGGUAACGGCUCACCAAGGCGACGAUGCGUAGCCGACCUGAGAGGGUGAUCGGCCACACUGGGACUGAGACACGGCCCAGACUCCUACGGGAGGCAGCAGUAGGGAAUCUUCCGCAAUGGACGAAAGUCUGACGGAGCAACGCCGCGUGAGUGAUGAAGGUUUUCGGAUCGUAAAGCUCUGUUGUUAGGGAAGAACAAGUGCAAGAGUAACUGCUUGCACCUUGACGGUACCUAACCAGAAAGCCACGGCUAACUACGUGCCAGCAGCCGCGGUAAUACGUAGGUGGCAAGCGUUGUCCGGAAUUAUUGGGCGUAAAGGGCUCGCAGGCGGUUUCUUAAGUCUGAUGUGAAAGCCCCCGGCUCAACCGGGGAGGGUCAUUGGAAACUGGGAAACUUGAGUGCAGAAGAGGAGAGUGGAAUUCCACGUGUAGCGGUGAAAUGCGUAGAGAUGUGGAGGAACACCAGUGGCGAAGGCGACUCUCUGGUCUGUAACUGACGCUGAGGAGCGAAAGCGUGGGGAGCGAACAGGAUUAGAUACCCUGGNUAGUCCACGCCGUAAACGAAUGAGUGCUAAGUGUUAGGGGGUUUCCGCCCCUUAGUGCUGCAGCUAACGCAUUAAGCACUCCGCCUGGGGAGUACGGUCGCAAGACUGAAACUCAAAGGAAUUGNCGGGGGCCCGCACAAGCGGUGGAGCAUGUGGUUUAAUUCGAAAGCAACGCGAAGAACCUUACCAGGUCUUGACAUCCUCUGACAACCCUAGAGAUAGGGCUUUCCCUUCGGGGACAGAGUGACAGGUGGUGCAUGGUUGUCGUCAGCUCGUGUCGUGAGAUGUUGGGUUAAGUCCCGCAACGAGCGCAACCCUUGAUCUUAGUUGCCAGCAUUCAGUUGGGCACUCUAAGGUGACUGCCGGUGACAAACCGGAGGAAGGUGGGGAUGACGUCAAAUCAUCAUGCCCCUUAUGACCUGGGCUACACACGUGCUACAAUGGACAGAACAAAGGGCUGCGAGACCGCAAGGUUUAGCCAAUCCCACAAAUCUGUUCUCAGUUCGGAUCGCAGUCUGCAACUCGACUGCGUGAAGCUGGAAUCGCUAGUAAUCGCG
RNAcentral lists this ribosomal RNA (1245 nucleotides) under Bacillus sp. Y37(2010). RNAcentral describes it as "bacterial SSU rRNA". It matches the Rfam family "Bacterial small subunit ribosomal RNA", at positions 117 to 1346 of the family's 1533-position model. The record is from RNAcentral. Lineage: Bacteria; Bacillati; Bacillota; Bacilli; Caryophanales; Bacillaceae.